AUACGGAGGUUGCAAGCGUUAAUCGGAAUUACUGGGCGUAAAGCGUACGUAGGCGGUCCGUUAAGUUAGAUGUGAAAGCCCCGGGCUUAACCUGGGAACUGCAUUUAAAACUGGCGGACUAGAGUUGAGUAGAGGGGAGUGGAAUUUCAGGUGUAGCGGUGAAAUGCGUAGAGAUCUGAAGGAACACCAGUGGCGAAGGCGACUCCCUGGACUCGAACUGACGCUGAGGUACGAAAGCGUGGGUAGCAAACGGGAUUAGAUACCCCGGUAGUCC
Molecule: ribosomal RNA, 274 nt
Filed under: uncultured bacterium
Lineage: Bacteria
Description: partial 16S ribosomal RNA
Rfam family: Bacterial small subunit ribosomal RNA
Source: RNAcentral